CAGUAGUCACGAGUUUGAUCAUGGCUCAGAUUGAACGCUGGCGGCAUGCCUAACACAUGCAAGUCGAACGAGAUCUUCGGGUCUAGUGGCGCACGGGUGCGUAACGCGUGGGAAUCUGCCCUUGGGUUCGGAAUAACUUCGGGAAACUGAAGCUAAUACCGGAUGAUGACGUAAGUCCAAAGAUUUAUCGCCCAAGGAUGAGCCCGCGUAGGAUUAGCUAGUUGGUGAGGUAAAGGCUCACCAAGGCGACGAUCCUUAGCUGGUCUGAGAGGAUGAUCAGCCACACUGGGACUGAGACACGGCCCAGACUCCUACGGGAGGCAGCAGUGGGAAUAUUGGACAAUGGGCGAAAGCCUGAUCCAGCAAUGCCGCGUGAGUGAUGAAGGCCUUAGGGUUGUAAAGCUCUUUUGCCCGGGAUGAUAAUGACAGUACCGGGAGAAUAAGCUCCGGCUAACUCCGUG
Molecule: ribosomal RNA, 461 nt
Filed under: uncultured bacterium
Lineage: Bacteria
Description: bacterial SSU rRNA
Rfam family: Bacterial small subunit ribosomal RNA
Source: RNAcentral